AUGGCCUGGGCCCCUCUACUCCUCGCCCUGCUCGCUUACUGCUCCGGGUCCAACUCACAGCCCACCCUGACUCAACCAUCAUCAGCGUCAGUGUCUCCAGGAAACACCGUGAAACUCUCCUGCACCGUCAGCAGUAGCAUGAACACCAUAGCCUGGAUCCAACAGAAACCUGGGCAAGCCCCUCGCUUUGUGCUGUCUGGUACCACCAACAGAGGCGAUGGGAUCCCAGAUCGGUUCACUGGUUCCACCUCUGGCAAUGUUGGUUAUUUAACCAUCACCAAUGCCCAAGCAGAAGACGAUGCUGAUUAUUACUGUAGGACGUGGACCUCAGGGACCCAGGUAGUUUUGGGAGAAGAAAAUUCUGCCAGACCAGUGCCUGGCUGGGCAAAAUUAGGCGCAGGUGACAACUCAGAGGUGUUUUGAGAGGGUAGCGAAUGCAGCAGGAAGGGCAGAUGAGGGGAACAUAUGGGGAGAGAAAUUCUUAGGCAAUCCCGUACCUAACAAACCGGAGGAGGUAGCAGCAUCUCAGUUAUCAUGGGACAAGCCCA
This is a non-coding RNA of Chrysemys picta bellii (western painted turtle), 548 nucleotides long. The record is from the annotation of a RefSeq genome assembly. NCBI's taxonomy places the organism in Eukaryota, Metazoa, Chordata, Testudines, Emydidae.